Molecule: ribosomal RNA, 482 nt
Filed under: uncultured bacterium
Lineage: Bacteria
Description: partial 16S ribosomal RNA
Rfam family: Bacterial small subunit ribosomal RNA
Source: RNAcentral
AUUGAACGCUGGCGGCAUGCUUUACACAUGCAAGUCGAACGGCAGCGCGGGGCAACCUGGCGGCGAGUGGCGAACGGGUGAGUAAUACAUCGGAACGUACCCAGACGUGGGGGAUAACGUAGCGAAAGUUACGCUAAUACCGCAUACGUUCUACGGAAGAAAGUGGGGGACCUUCGGGCCUCAUGCUUUUGGAGCGGCCGAUGUCUGAUUAGCUAGUUGGUGAGGUAAAGGCUCACCAAGGCGACGAUCAGUAGCUGGUCUGAGAGGACGACCAGCCACACUGGGACUGAGACACGGCCCAGACUCCUACGGGAGGCAGCAGUGGGGAAUGUUGGACAAUGGGCGCAAGCCUGAUCCAGCAAUGCCGCGUGAGUGAAGAAGGCCUUCGGGUUGUAAAGCUCGUUUGUCAGUGAAGAAACGGCUGAGGAUAAUACCUUCGGCUAAUGACGGUACCUGAAGAAUAAGCACCGGCUAACUACGUG